UCAUUUUAGUAGCAAAUAUACUAAAAUCAGAACUAUAUAGCCAAGAUUAGCAUGAUCCCUGCACUAAAAUGACAUACAAAUUAAUAAAGCAUUACAUUUUUUU
Molecule: small nuclear RNA, 103 nt
Organism: Apodemus sylvaticus (European woodmouse)
Lineage: Eukaryota; Metazoa; Chordata; Mammalia; Rodentia; Muridae
Source: RefSeq, a predicted model, not a curated record